AUUCCUGCCCUUGGCAGUGUGAGAUGGAAGAUGAUGUCGCAAGGGUGGCCGAGAAGCAGCUGGGCUGAGCUGCUAAAAGCACAGAGACCGGGGCCAGACUCCUCAGCCUGAAAUCCUGCUUCCACUAAGUACCAGCUGGGUAACUUCAGGCCCUGGAGGUCCAUGCUUCUGCCCAAGCUGUGUCUCAUCUCUGCAGGUGGAGCCCAGUUGACAGGAAAUGUUUCUCCAGAAGCUGAAAAGCUGCCUGGUAAAGGCCUUUCAUAAAAUGGUCUGCGUUUGGGACCAGGAAGACAGAAGACUCCUCAAGAAGAGAACUGGAACCUUAACCCACUUCAGACUUCUUCAUGUCUGAAGCUUAUUUCCACCAUCCCAUUGAG
This 377-nucleotide long non-coding RNA is filed under the name Homo sapiens (human). RNAcentral describes it as "HSALNT0346920". The record is from RNAcentral. Lineage: Eukaryota; Metazoa; Chordata; Mammalia; Primates; Hominidae.